UACGUAGGGGGCUAGCGUUGUCCGGAAUCAUUGGGCGUAAAGCGCGCGUAGGCGGCCAGAUAAGUCCGGUGUGAAAGCCACAGGCUCAACCUGUGAAUGCCGCUGGAAACUGUCUGGCUAGAGUCCGGGAGGGGCGAGUGGAAUUCCUGGUGUAGCGGUGAAAUGCGCAGAUAUCAGGAGGAACACCAAUGGCGAAGGCAGCUCGCUGGAACGGAACUGACGCUGAGGGGCGAAAGCGUGGGGAGCGAACAGG
RNAcentral lists this ribosomal RNA (253 nucleotides) under uncultured bacterium. Its description in RNAcentral is "partial 16S ribosomal RNA". It matches the Rfam family "Bacterial small subunit ribosomal RNA", at positions 524 to 776 of the family's 1533-position model. The record is from RNAcentral.